This 752-nucleotide ribosomal RNA is filed under the name Bursaphelenchus sp. Its description in RNAcentral is "LSU rRNA". It matches the Rfam family "Eukaryotic large subunit ribosomal RNA", at positions 352 to 948 of the family's 3401-position model. The record is from RNAcentral. RNAcentral also lists the same sequence under 1 other name. Lineage: Eukaryota; Metazoa; Nematoda; Chromadorea; Rhabditida; Aphelenchoididae.
CCCUAGGGAAAGUUGAAAAGGACUUUGAAAAGAGAGUGCAGAGACGUGAACCGGUGUAAUGGAAGCAUAUGGAGUUGACGUAUCUGGUACGUAUUCAGCUGUCAGAAUUUGUGAUUGCUGGGUGUGGUAUUCCGCAAGGUUGCCCGCUUGGUAUUGUUGCGAGUUUGGCGGUGCAUUUGCGUGCGGAGUGCGCCGAGUCGUGUGCUGGCGUCGAUCGAAACUAUUCGAGAGGACAUGGCUUCGGUCGUGAAACCUUGUGUGGUGGAGGUUGGUUGCUGGUGCGCGGUUUUGUGGAAGUGCGGGUUUUUCGCGCGCUUGUAUGUUGAUUGGGCCGGUUUGUGUUGUACGCUUGCGUGCGGCGCUUAUGGGUUUAGUCGAUGUGCGAGUGUGCUCUGCGCUCUUCUCGGUGUAUAGUCAAUGACCCAUUUGACCCGUCUUGAAACACGGACCAAGGAGUUUAUGGUAUACGCGAGUCAUUGGGUUCAUGAAACCCAAAGGCGUAAUGAAAGUGAGACCUUACUGGUUUUAAUGUGAACGGUUGGUGUUUCGACGUCGUCCGUGCAACAUUGCCCCGUUUCGAGGACUUGUCCUGUUGCGGAGGUUGAGCGUAUGCUAUGAGACCCGAAAGAUGGUGAACUAUGCCUGUACAGGAUGAAGCCAGAGGAAACUCUGGUGGAAGUCCGAAGCGGUUCUGACGUGCAAAUCGAUCGUCUGAUAUUGGUAUAUAGCGCAGACUAAUCGAACCAUCAGAG